Molecule: long non-coding RNA, 877 nt
Filed under: Mytilus galloprovincialis (Mediterranean mussel)
Lineage: Eukaryota; Metazoa; Mollusca; Bivalvia; Mytilida; Mytilidae
Source: RNAcentral
AGUUAUGAAUCACAACAUAUCACAUUUAAGUACAAUCUCAUAUUAAAAACAGAACACAUUAAAUGUCAACAAUAACAUAGAUUACAGCAGAUUUACUUAUUCUUGCUGAGCUAAUUUUAAAAGAUGCAGGUAAUUUAUUCAUCCUGCAAUUAACCAGGUAUUGUACAAUCAACAGGUAUAAAAUUAAAUUCUAACUCAUCAUAGUUAUGUUAAAAUAACGGCCAAUAACUGUAUUUUUUUAGUUCUCUUCUUUUUUAAUCAUUGACAUACAGAUCUUGUGGUCUAGCUUAGCUUGCAAGAUUCUGACAACACUCCAUUCUACUUUCUGUUUAGAGACAUUUUGGGAUCCUUUGUUUUUUUUCGAAAUAAAACACCACUUCAAAAUUUGAAAGCAGAGAUUUGAUAGGCUGAUAUGAUCAUUUCUAGAACAGAAAGUAGGACACAGUCCCAUCAAAUCCUUGAGAGUAAAGCAUGGACACAGGAUCUGUUUUAACCAUGUUGAUUUCUAUAAAAUUAAGACAAACGUUGAGAGAAAAAAAUCUAUAAUAUUAGACUGCAGGAUAAAAACAAUAGUUGUUCAUUGUUUAAUAUUAUUUACUUUUUUUUUUCAUUUUGAUCUCCCUUGUAGUUUAAACAAUUUUUAAAUUUUAGGUUUGUAUUUUGUUUAUUAAUUCUUCAAUUCAUGUUUCAUGGAAAUAUCCAAAAUAAAUACCCUAAGGUAGAAUAAUACAUCUUUACUUGGAAUGCAUAAUUAUUAUGUAGGACCCAGCCCCAUCUAUAAAUCUUCUUUUCACUUGGAGGAAUCUUUUUAAAAAUACAACCACUAUUAUUCUGCCUUAUAUAUAUACACAAUAUAUUAUACUUACAUUUACUCUAC